GGCAACCUGCUGCAGUCCCCUUCCACGCUGUGGGAGCUUUGCUCUUUAGCUCUUUGCAAUAAAUCUCGUUACUGCUCACUCUUUGGGUCCACACUGCCUUUAUGAGCUAUGACACUCACCGCGAAGGUCUGCAGCCAGCGAGACCACGAACCCAGCCGGAGGAACAACAACUGCAGACGUGCCACCUUAAGAGCUGUAACGCUCACCGCCAAGGUCUGCAGCUUCACUCCUGAGCCAGCGAGACCACGAACCCACCAGAAGGAAGAAACUCCAAACACAUCUGAACAUCAGAAGGAACAACCUGCGGACACGCCACUUUUAAGAACUGUAACACUCGCUGCGAGGGUCCACGGCUUCAUUCUUGAAGUCAGUGAGACCAAGAACCCACCAAUUCCAGACACAUCAGGGGUGGAUCUUCUGUUGACCUUGGUGGAUAGAUUUAAUUGAGUGGUGAAAAAGAAGGUGGCCUUCUAACUAGGGAAGAACACUGAUGACGGCCCAGAAGUGAGGAGGAGUGUAGUGUACCAAAGCACUAGAGUUUGUCAUUUCCACUCCCAUGCUUUGACUCGUCUUUCUCUUGAAGUGAGCAGAAACAUCCUCCCCAACUUUCAGCAUGACUUUCAACAAUGCUGUUGGGUUGUGUUUGGGCUUCAGUCUCCUUGAUACAGAAGGGCUGGGCUCCCAGCUAAACCCCCCGCUGAAUCCUGGAACUGUGGCCCUAAGUGAAACAGCUUACCCCGUUUUUCCACCCAAAUGUUGCCUUUUUGGCCUGCCCCGCCCCUAUCUUGUGCCCCAAAAAGACUUCAGCCGGCAGAGCAACAGAAGCAGCUGAGCGGCAAUCAGAGAAGCAACUGAGCAUCAGAGACUGUGGACAGACGCAGCUAACUUCAGAUGGUGCAGCUUUGUGGAGAGGGGCCUGGCUGGAGAUGGCUGGGCUUCAGGGAAAGAUCCCCUUCCCAUCAUCCCCUUCCGUUUCCAGCCUCCGUUUCUGCUGAGAGCCACCCACCACCCAAUAAAUUCCUCCACAUGCAUCCCCUUUCAAAUGGUUCAUGUGACCUGAUUCUUCCUGGACAUUGGACAAGAACCCAGGUGCUGAGAGGGCAGGGGCUGCCACCCUGACCCUCCACCAAGCCGGUUGGCACUUGGCUGUUUCCAGACAUAAGAGCUGAAACAGCAUUGGUUGUAACAUGCUUGGACGACGCUACUCGGCCCGCACAGAACCUGCUCCUAGCAGAGAGGAGUGAUUGGCGGUUCCAGCAUUUGUUCAUUCUGGUUCCUGCACACUCUCGCUUGCAUGCUGUCUCCUGUGAGGAGUGGCCAACGCCGGGCUGAGUGAAAUGAGCCACUCCAGUUUCUGCCCAUGAAGGGGAUCAAGGGAACUAUCCCAUCUCAUCUGAAGGCUUGUCCUGGAUACGUCAGACAAGUGAGUACAUGACGAAAUGUCUCUUUUGGGUGAAAAGAAUGUUGGCUCUGUGGCUGUUUUCCUUCACGGUGGUCAAACUGUCUUAUGGGAUGGGAAUAAGGUCCUGGGGAACCAAAGGCAUCUGACUGAGGCCACUCCUCAGUGUUGCUGGAAGGCCCCAAGACUAAACUCCAUCCAUGACUGCCCUAACAGGCGUCGGCCCAAAUCUGCAGACUUUGCUGUGAUAUCUUUGUAUCUUUUCUUCUUUAAUGCCUGCAAAUGGUUUCUAUCUCUUUCUUUCUUUCUUUUUUUUUUUUUUUUUUUGAGACGGAGUCUUGCUCUUGUCCCCCAGGCUGGAGUGCGUGGUGCAAUCUUGGCUCACUGCAACCUCCGCCUCCCAGGUUCAAGUGAUUCUCCUGCCUCAGCCUUCUGAGUAGCUGGGACUACAGGCACCCACCACCAUACCUGGCUAAUAUUUGUAUUUUUACUAGAGAUUGGGUUUCACCAUGUUGGCCAGGCUGGUCUCGAACUCCUGACCUCAGGUGAUCUGCCCACCUCGGCCUCCCAAAGUGCUGGGAUUGCAGGCGUGAGCCACCGUGCCUGACUGGCUUCUAUCUCUCUCAUAAAGAGUUUUGCUACAAACUGCAGAGAUGUUAGGUAGAAUGAGUGUUUGGCCUAGCCAUUAGAUAUGGAAUUCAGAACAAUGUGAUUCCCGUUUUUUCUUAGAGGUGCCAUCCCCACACUCACCCCAACAGCCACGGGCAGGCAUGGUGUGUGGUGGUUCCUCUGCUCACCCCCUCCCCUCCCUGCUUAGGAGCCUGGGCGUGUCUGCUGCAUGCGUGUGCCAUGUUCAAGGGCUAAGCGAGGCAGCAAUGAGCUGCGCACACCUCCCAGUCCCCAGGGAAGCCUCGGGUUAGGGGUCCCAUGUAGCCAGAUGGCUGGCACCUCCCACUUGGCUGGAAAAAGGAUGGGAAAGUGAUCUUUUCCUAAAGCCUAACCGUUUCUGGUCAGACCCUUCUCCAAAACUGCACUGUCUGAAAUUAGCUGUGUUUUUUUAUAGUCUCUGACGCUCAGUUGCUUGUCUGUCACUCAGCCGCUUAUACCUUGACACUCAGCUGUUUGUGUUGCUCUGCCUCUGAAGUUUUUUAUGGGCACAGGAUAGGGGUGGAGCAGGCCAAAAAGGCAAUAUUUGGGUGGAAAAACAGGGUCAGCUGUUUUCACUUAGAGCUGUGGUUCCAGGGUUAAGGUUGGGGUUUAGCCGAGAGCCCAGUCCUUCUGUAUCAUCCUCAUCUGUGAGACAAAGAUGCUGAUGGCCCAGGCAGCUCUAGAGCCAAAGGUUCCACCAUGGUACCCAGUCAUCUUGUUUUACUUCCCAAAGCCUAUUAACAUGACUGAUCCCCAAAGCAUAAUGUCAGCAUUCAAGAUGCUGGUAUAAACCACAGCUAUCAAACCACCUGAACAGGCAAAGAGAGAGAAAGAAAGCCACAUUUGACUCACUCUUCUGAAAGUUACUCCCACAUCAAGUACUCUGUAUACUCCCCACCACACCCCCAGUUCUCCACAUUCAGGCGCUUGAUCUCUUUAAUUCAGUGAGUGACUUAUGCUUAGUUUUAGUCCAUCCUGUUUUCUCUCUUUAAUGUCCUUCAUGAUCUCUUGUUGGAUUCUUAUCUUGCCCUUCUGUGUCACAAUUUCCUAAUUUCCCUUUAAUUCCCUUUCUUAAAAAUUUUUAUCAUUAUUUUUUAAGACAGGGUGGAGUGCAAUGGCAUGAUCAUAGCUCACUGCAGCCUGGAUCUCCCAGGCUCAAGCAGUCUUCCCACAGCCUCCUGAGUAGCUGGGACUACAGGUGUGUGUCAUCACACCUGGCUAAUUUUAAAAAUGUUUGUAGAGACAGAGUUUGCCAUGGUGCCCACACUGGUCUCAAACUCCUGAGCUCAAAGGAUCCUCCUGCCUCAGCCUCCUGAAGUGCUGGGAUUAUAGGCAUGAGCCACUGCACCUGACCUGGAAGCAACAGUUAACAGCCAGCAGAGCUCCCCCUGGCCCAGCUGUGACAACCCAGAAUGCCUCCAAACAUUACCAAGUGCCCUCUGGGAAGAAAAAUCCAAUUCCCACUCCUCUGCACUGUGAACCACUGAUUGAGGGCAUUCUGUGCCUCACUUUGAUUCUUUCCCCUUGGUCUCUGGUGAACUGCCAGGGAAACACCCAGCAUCUGAGAUUUGCACUGUUGCUGGAAAGAAGGAGUGGUGAGAGCUUCCACUCUCAGAACCUAGGCAGUAGCUGCCUAGGACAGAACUGCCCCUACAAAAGAUUCCAUCUGAUCAGGCCUGACCAGGUGGCCCAUGGCUGCUGCCUCCCCAUCAUUUGUCUUCUGUGCUCCCAGUCUUUUACCUGGUGGCCUGCAGUGUCCCUCCCCACCGCAGACAUAAUCGCUGUUGUCCCUGUCAGACCCCUGGGAGGGACCCAGCCAGCCCAAGCUGAUUUCUAGUGGGAGGACACUACUUAGGCCCCCCGUCUCUGUUCUUUUCAUUGUUCAGUCUCCUCAGGUCUUAGCAAUGUCAUUUACAGACUUAGGGUAAGUGCAAAAGCUGGAGACUGCUGCUUCAAUGUCUACAAACUCUAUAAAGAGUUUUUCUACAAACUGCAGAGAUGUUAGGUAGAAUGACAUCUCUGUCAUUCACAGAGAUAGACUUCUCUAUCUUUAGGUAGAAUGACUUCUCUGUCAUCCACUAAGUAGAGUGUGCCAAUGUAAGUACUUGUGUGGUUAGAGUAACCUCACCUGAGAUGGUAUGAAUGCCAGCAAUUUUCAGCGAGAUUGUGAUCAGUUAAACACCCAUUUCCUAAACUAUCUUCAUGAACACGGCAGAAGAGCAAACCUCCAACUGAAAUGAAUACGGAGUCAGCAGGCUGCACUUUCACUUCCAACUGAAUCCACAGUGAUUCCACAAAGACACUGACCUUAGAAGCCAUCUACCAGAGGUGGUAUCUGAAUAGCACUACAUCACCAGUGGACACUGGGUAAGGUUCAUCCGUUUUGUUGAGCAUAGGCUUGUGCCCCAUGAGUUCAGCCAAGGUUAGUACUUUUAGGGCUUGAGUUAACCCCAUUCUUCCAGUGGCACAACUUAGCCUCUUCCACUCUGGAGCUUCAGAGAGGGAAUUAGUUCAGAGAGUUAGUUGUUUUUACAGUUCCACCACUGGAAAAAGGGAACGGGAAUGACUUCUCAGGGAUCAGCAAACUUUUCCUGUAAAGGCAAGUUUGCUGGUCACAUACCAUCUCUCUUUUUUUUUUUUUUUUUUUUUUUACAACCUUUUAAAACUAUAAAAAUCAUUCUUAGCUUCAGAGCUGCACAAAGCCCAUCAUUAUCCAGAUUGGCCUGCUGACCAGAUUUGUUGACCCCUGGCUCAGUUGACACUGAUUUUGAAACAUCUGCACAUCAUUUAACUGGAUAACCCCUUGCUUUGUUAUUCUGAUCUCCAAAGCCAGGGAUAAAAUGGACAGAUUCAUCUAUCCAUUUAUUCACUAACUACUUACUGAGUGCCAACCAUGUCAUAGACACUCAGCAGUGUUCAGAAGACACAAGUUACCAAAACUCAGUUGCCAUCCUCAAGAGCUUAUGUUUAAUGGAGACAAACCACAAAAUAGGCAUUUUCUAUGCAGUGUGAUAAGUGCCACUAUUCCAGUUAUUCAGAAAACAUUUAUGAAGUACCUUAUGUGCUAAACAUGUUCUCAGUACAGGGGGAAGGUAACGCAGUGAACAAGGCAGGAGGCCCUUGGUCUCAGGAAGCUUGCACUGAAGUGGAGAAGCCAGAUAAGCAAGCAGAUAAAUUGCUUUCACAUGGUGGCAGGCAUUUCACAGAAAAUAAAAACAGCAGUGAAGCUGGGUGCAGUGGUGCACACCUAUAAUCACAGCUUCUUGGGAGGCUCAGGAGGGGGAUUGCUUGAGCCCAGGAGUUCAAGUUCAAGUGUUCCUAGACCAAAACGAGGAUCAGGCUGCUUACUCUCGUGGCCCAAUAAUGAGAUGCAGAUGAACUGGGAAAGAAGAGUUUUUUAUUUAUGUAACUGGUUACAGGGAGAAGGCCUGGAAAUUAUCAAAAUUUGGACUAACUCAAAAUUACAGUUUUCUAGAACUUAUGUGCCUUCUAAGCUAUAUGUCUACGUGUAAGUGUGCAUUUAUCUAAAGACAUAAGUGCUAACUUUUAUUCUGUAACUGAGAUCUGAGUCCUGAAGACCUUCCUCUGGAGCCUUAGUAAAUUUUCUUAAUCUAAAUGGGCCCAGGUGCUGGGGCAAUUACCCUUAUCUUGUCUCCUGCUAAAUCAUGGAGGUUUGAUGAGUUCUUGCAGACCUCCAAUAAACUUGUUUGUGGAGACCUGGGGGGUUUCUUCAGACCCCCAAUGAAACUUGCUUAAUUCUAAAUGGGUCCUUUUAAGAAUUCCUUUUUUAUCUCAUCAUGCUUCAAGGCCCAGGAAAGGCCUGGACAAAACUCUUGGUGAGCCUUUGUUACAUUCCAGCAUUUGUAUUAGAGCACUGGCUCUAUCAGCUUUUAAUAUUUAACUUAACCACUCAGUCAGUGCUGAAACAGUUGUUACAGAGGCCUGCGUUAGUGAGACCUGGCCUGCCGCAGCAGUGAAUGAUGAUCACAUUUAUGAAUAGCCACUGCACUCCAGCCUGGGCAACAUAGCAAGACCCUGUCUCUAAUUAAAGACAAAAACCAAGACCUGAGUAAUGGAGUAGAGAUGAAUUGGGUGCAUCCUUGGAAGGCCCCUUCAAGGAAGUGCUAUUUUUCUUUCAAGGAAUAAUACAAGGAGUUAGCCAUGCAAGAUCUGAGGGAAGAACAUUCCAGACACAGUACAGAGCAAGUCUAGAGGGUUUUGAUUUGGAAUAAGCUUGCUGGACUUGAGAAUCAAUGAGGCAAGCAGUGUGACUAGAGCACAGUGUGUAACCAUUAGGAAAUAAGGAGAUCCAUUUAGAAAGGUAGACUGGGGCUUCCGCAGGACAGCCUUUAAAAGCCAGAACAAGUUUAAGUUUUGUACAGGUGGUGAAAAUUCCUGGAUUCUUUUAAGCACAUGACCUACUGAUAUGAGAUGGGUAAGCCCAAGGUUCCUGGGAAUACAGAGGAGGGACCUGUAACCUAGGCUUGGGAGGUAAAGAAGAUGCUUCUUUUAUUUUUUGUGAAUGUGAAGUCAUUUUUUUCUACUCUGGCUUCACAACAAAGGCCAACAAGUAAUUUAGAGGACCCAGAGUAAAUCGCUGGGACAAAUCCAGCAUAAUCUUGAGUCCUGCCUCUUGCUUUUUUUUCUUGGUUCUGUUUCUUGGGCUGGAUUUUACACAACUCACUGGUAUCUUAUUGAAGAUACAGAGGAAUAAAUACAGAAUGGAGAGAAGGAUCUCACUCUGAUAGCUACCAAACCUAUUCUUGAAAUAUUCUGGCACUGUCACCACCUGUACAAGCAAUGAGACAAGUCACCAUCAACAGUGAGUGCUGAAGAGGCAGACCCAGGGGGAUGAGUCUUGCUCACAAGUUCUGGUUGUUAGAGACAUGGCUGAUUCUGGGAGUAGCCCAAGAAUUCAAGAUGGGGAGUCACUGCCCCUGGCAUCUGUUAAGAUGGGAGAAAUAAGAAAGGAGAAUAAACACCACUGUCUCCCAGGAGUUUGGAAUCCAGCUUCUUGUGCAAUAUUUGAUGCAGAAGAAAAUCCAGCUGAGAAUGGUAAUGAUGACAAAUCCCUUUUAUGGAAUAAUCAUAGAGCAAAAUCAAGUGCUUAAUCACAUAGUACAAAGAUAGCCAGUGUUCAAGAGAGACAGGUCCUGACUACACAGCUCUGUGACUUGUCCUGUGCCAACACUGCCGGUGUGCAUGCUGGUGUCCCAUACAAUCCUGCUGUAUCUCAGGCUGUGCACACCAAGACGACAAGAACCAUGCCCUUUUUGUUCACUAUAUUCCUGGACCAUAGCUCAGUGCCUGGCUCAUGGUAGGUGAAUAGAUACUAAUGAAUAUUGUUCCACUUUCUAUCCUGACUAUUCUCAUAUGUUCUUGUCCACUGACCUCAAACAUGUCUAUUUUAAGUUCUAUCUCAAAUUCUACCUGCUUUAUCAAGACUUACCUGGGGACUUCACAAGAACCAUAUGCCCUCUUCUUCUAAAUACCUGUAGCUUUUAUUAUUUUCACCUUUGAUUUGGCUCUAAAUCGUAGAUGGCUUACUUUUUUAGCAAGGUCCCAAGCUUCCCAAGCUGUUUCACACUUACUACUUAUAUCUUUGCUAGGGCUGCCAUAACAAAGUAAACUGUUCAUUCUGCACUGCCUUGCCUUUUCUGCAGAAGCCUCAAUAAAGGCAGUAUCCCAACCCUUCCCUUUGUCUUUUUCCUCCUGACCACCUGAUGUCUUUCCCAUGUGGUCCUGCAUGGCAUGCCAUGCCUCCUGUCUCUAGGACCUGUGAGUAUAAUAAACUUUUUUUUUCUGAGCUUCUAUGUCUCCUCCUGUGGCUGCACCCAACCCAUCUGACUGGCUCAUAAAGAAUACAAAAUAGAGUGUGUAGUGGUAUCUUAUUUAUUUACUUAGUUUAGAAAUGGUGUCUUGUUCUGUUGCUCCAACUGGCCUUGAGCUCUUGGGCUCAAUCAGUCCUCCCACCUUGGCCUCCCAAGUAGCUGGGACUAUAGGCGUGUGACACCAUGCCCAGCUUGGUAUCUUAUUUGAAUUAGCAUUUCCCUAAUGAUUAAUAACCUUUUAAUUAUUUGCCAUUU
RNAcentral lists this long non-coding RNA (8133 nucleotides) under Homo sapiens (human). Its description in RNAcentral is "HSALNT0405125". The record is from RNAcentral. Lineage: Eukaryota; Metazoa; Chordata; Mammalia; Primates; Hominidae.